AACGAACGCUGGCGGCGCGCCUAAUACAUGCAAGUCGAGCGAGAAGGUGUAGCAAUACACUUGUAAAGCGGCGAACGGGUGAGGAAUACAUGGGUAAUCUACCAUCGAGUGGGGAAUAACCAACCGAAAGGUUGGCUAAUACCGCGUACGCCUCCGAGUCUUCGGGUUCGGAGGGAAAGCUGCACUGUGAGUGUAGCGCUCUUUGAUGAGCUCAUGUCCUAUCAGCUUGUUGGUAGGGUAACGGCCUACCAAGGCUUUGACGGGUAGCUGGUCUGAGAGGACGAUCAGCCACACUGGCACUGCGACACGGGCCAGACUCCUACGGGAGGCAGCAGUAAGGAAUAUUGCGCAAUGGAGGCAACUCUGACGCAGCCAUGCCGCGUGCAGGAAGAAGGCGCUACGCGUUGUAAACUGCUUUUAACCGGGAAGAACCCCAGGACGUGUCCUGGGUUGACGGUACCGGAGGAAUAAGCACCGGCUAACUUCGUGCCAGCA
Molecule: ribosomal RNA, 495 nt
Filed under: uncultured bacterium
Lineage: Bacteria
Description: bacterial SSU rRNA
Rfam family: Bacterial small subunit ribosomal RNA
Source: RNAcentral